GAAGGAUGAAAGCUGAAGACUGAAGCAGGUCAGUGUUCUGGUUUAACCUCUCAGACUGACUUCAGAUCAGAAGAUGAGUGAUUGUGUGGAGGAAGAGGAGGACAGAGCAGAGUCUCUAGUCUCUGGCUGUCUAUCUAUGAAGAGUGAUCAGUCUAAAGAUGAUCCUCUGACCUUCAGUAAUGAACCUGGACCCUCAGAGUCAAAAGUUAAGUCCAGAUAGAGAGAAGAGUC
Long non-coding RNA from Sebastes umbrosus (honeycomb rockfish), 231 nucleotides. RefSeq lists it as uncharacterized. The record is from RefSeq and is a predicted model, not a curated record. The transcript has 5 exons. Lineage: Eukaryota; Metazoa; Chordata; Actinopteri; Perciformes; Sebastidae.